UCAAGGGGUGCUUUUCAUAAUUUGAAAUUCUGGAUUAUGAAAGGCUGAGAUGAUACCCUCAGAACCUGAUGCGGGUAAUGCCGCCGUAGGGAAUGGC
This 97-nucleotide non-coding RNA is filed under the name bovine gut metagenome. RNAcentral's name for it is "TPP riboswitch (THI element)". It matches the Rfam family "TPP riboswitch aptamer (THI element)", at positions 9 to 90 of the family's 105-position model. From Rfam's summary of the family: Vitamin B(1) in its active form thiamin pyrophosphate (TPP) is an essential coenzyme that is synthesised by coupling of pyrimidine and thiazole moieties in bacteria. The record is from RNAcentral.